AGGGACACUGUUGAAGUAAACCGAUUGCGUCUAGGUAGCUUUCAAGGUCAAAAAAGCGUUUCCAACAGAGAAUACGAAGCAUAAAAAUGUCUGAUUUUAGUUCUGAUUCGGAUGAUAGUCAAAAUGACUCGGAAUGGAACUUUAUCCCGGUGUAUACGAGUUUCCAAUCGCAUCGAGGAUGAAAACGAACGGGCUACAUCGGCCUAAUGUCGACAGGAAGACUGAUGUGGACCUCUACUCUUAUAUUGACGAGCCACUGGAAGACGCAUAAUGGCUGAAACUGUUCGAAAAGGAGGAUAAGAAACGAAAAGAAAAGCAAGAAGAUCUUCGUAAAAGACUGAAAGGAAUCAGGAUAGUCGAGUCUUGAUUCCUUCGAAGCGUUGCCUACAGGGAAUUUACCUUUCUGAUCCAUGGUUAUCUAGGUAACAAAAGAGUACCAAUGCCAUCAUUUGUUUACCAUAAAUUCGAGAAACAUUUGUUGUGACAAAGAUGAACAGUUCACAGGAUAUGAGAAUAACAUUUAAAACAAAUGUACAUGUGAAAUUAUUUUUACUUGCUCCAAAUAAUAUUAUUUUUUGUAACGAAUGUUAAAAUAUAUUUGUCCUUUUUAUUACCACACUGUAAUUUGUGAGGGCUGAUAUUAUUCUGCCAGUCAAACCCUUGUUUACUACACAGGUUGCAAUACAGCAGUAGAAUGCAUUCAUUACAUUCAAACAUUUUGUAAGAAAUUGCAUCAAUAUUAAUCAAUAGAAAACAAAAUGAAUGCAAUCCAUCUUCGCUUAAACUACAAGCAUUACUUUUUGCCUAUGUGGUAGUGUUUAUGUACUUCAUCACCAUCUACUUUUUACAUAUUUUCUAUAAGUCUAAUUAGUUGAUGAUUAAUAUGUGUAAAUACAAUAUAUAUAUUUUAUUCACUGUUUGCGGCUCUGAUUCUUUCAGCUCUGAUGCGUUCACACUCAGCUUUAUUGUGGCCUUUCAUACGCUUAUCACAGUGUGAACACACAGGCUUUGCUCUUGGCUGUUUGUUAGCUCUUUGUGUAUUCACAAGUUGUGCUUGUAUUUCUUCAGCUGAAAAAAAUGAUCAACAUAAAAUAUUUAUGACAAUAAAAGUACAUAAUUACAAAA
Molecule: long non-coding RNA, 1125 nt
Organism: Exaiptasia diaphana
Lineage: Eukaryota; Metazoa; Cnidaria; Anthozoa; Actiniaria; Aiptasiidae
Exons: 2
Source: RefSeq, a predicted model, not a curated record